This 245-nucleotide ribosomal RNA is filed under the name uncultured bacterium. RNAcentral describes it as "partial 16S ribosomal RNA". It matches the Rfam family "Bacterial small subunit ribosomal RNA", at positions 528 to 772 of the family's 1533-position model. The record is from RNAcentral.
UAGGGGGCAAGCGUUAUCCGGAUUUACUGGGUGUAAAGGGAGCGCAGGCGGCGCGUCAAGUCUGGUGUGAAAGCCCGGGGCUCAACCCCGGGACUGCAUUGGAAACUGUCGUGCUUGAGUGUCGGAGAGGUAAGCGGAAUUCCUAGUGUAGCGGUGAAAUGCGUAGAUAUUAGGAGGAACACCAGUGGAGAAGGCGGCUUACUGGAUGACAACUGACGCUGAGGCUCGAAAGCGUGGGGAGCAAA